Molecule: ribosomal RNA, 520 nt
Filed under: uncultured Glomus
Lineage: Eukaryota; Fungi; Glomeromycota; Glomeromycetes; Glomerales; Glomeraceae
Description: SSU rRNA
Rfam family: Eukaryotic small subunit ribosomal RNA
Source: RNAcentral
AGCAGCCGCGGUAAUUCCAGCUCCAAUAGCGUAUAUUAAAGUUGUUGCAGUUAAAAAGCUCGUAGUUGAAUUUCGGGAUCAAUACGUCUGUCGUGCCUUUGGUACGUACGGGUGUAAUUGGUUUCUACCUUCUGAGGAUCCUUGAUGUCAUUAAUUUGGUGUCUUGGGGAAUCAGGACUGUUACCUUGAAAAAAUUAGAGUGUUUAAAGCAGGCAUGCGCUUGAAUACAUUAGCAUGGAAUAAUGAAAUAGGACGUUCGAUUCUAUUUUGUUGGUUUCUAGGAUCGACGUAAUGAUUAAUAGGGAUAGUUGGGGGCAUUAGUAUUCAAUUGUCAGAGGUGAAAUUCUUGGAUUUAUUGAAGACUAACUACUGCGAAAGCAUUUGCCGAGGAUGUUUUCAUUAAUCAAGAACGAAAGUUAGGGGAUCGAAGACGAUCAGAUACCGUCGUAGUCUUAACCAUAAACUAUGCCGACUAGGGAUCGGAUGAUGUUAAUUUUUAAUGACUCAUUCGGCGCCUUAA